Molecule: small nuclear RNA, 191 nt
Organism: Echinops telfairi (small Madagascar hedgehog)
Lineage: Eukaryota; Metazoa; Chordata; Mammalia; Afrosoricida; Tenrecidae
Gene: U2
Rfam family: U2 spliceosomal RNA
About the family: U2 is a small nuclear RNA (snRNA) component of the spliceosome (involved in pre-mRNA splicing). Complementary binding between U2 snRNA (in an area lying towards the 5' end but 3' to hairpin I) and the branchpoint sequence (BPS) of the intron results the bulging out of an unpaired adenosine, on the BPS, which initiates a nucleophilic attack at the intronic 5' splice site, thus starting the first of two transesterification reactions that mediate splicing.
Source: Ensembl
AUCGCUUCUCGGCCUUUUGGCUGAGAUCAAGUGUAGUGUCUGUUCUUAUCAGUUUGGUAUCUGAUACGUCCUCUAUCUGAGGACAGUGUAUUAAAUGGAUUUUUGGAGCAGGGAGAUGGAGUGGGAACUUGCUCCGUCCACUCCACGCAUCGACCUGGUGUUGCAGUACUUCCAGGAAUGGUGCACACAAA